GCGGCUUGCCUAACAACCGCCAUUGCUAGGGAAUUCAUGGCGACCACGUCGGAGCGAUUUGGCUGACUUCCGGUUGAACUCAUUGUCCGUGUAAGCUAUUAAAUGCAGGUCAACAUGGAAGCAGCUGGCCACUUUUACACGGUGUGUACUUUUGAAAAGGCAUCGAGACAUGUAGACUGGCCGCCCGUAGAAUUUCUUUGUGUUUGAUUUUAUUUUCUUACUCAAGGAACUCAGCGUCAUUACAAGUGUGUUGCCACAGUUUGCGAGUCUGAAAAAACUCUAGAUCUAGAGUCUAGAUCUAACUACUAGAAAAUCUUGAUUCUACUUAGAUCUAGAUCUAGAUCUACUACGUUUUGAAAUUCAAGACAAUCAUUUCAAUCAAGCAGGACCAACAAGGUGUAAAGAGGAUUGCUAAUGAAAUCAGAAACUUGAUGGCUGACAUAAAGCAGCUGAGGAGAACAGAGGCUUGUGAGUGGAAUAGGUUGGUGGAACUUGUGUACAUCCCUUUCUAUGUUCAAUGUCUCAGGUGGA
This is a long non-coding RNA of Physella acuta, 531 nucleotides long. RefSeq lists it as uncharacterized. Lineage: Eukaryota; Metazoa; Mollusca; Gastropoda; Physidae. The record is from RefSeq and is a predicted model, not a curated record.